AUUUAUUGGUCUGGAUGGGACUCGCGGCCUAUCAGCUUGUUAGGUGAGGUAAUGGCUUCACCAAGGCGACGACGGGUAGCCGCGCCUGAGAGGGUGACCGGCCACACUGGGACUGAAGACACGGCCCAGACUCCUACGGGGAGGCAGCAGUGGGGAAUAUUGCACAAUGGCGCAAGCCUGAUGCAGCGACGCCGCGUGAGGGAUGACGGCCUUCGGGUUGUAAACCAUCUUUCAGUAGGGAAGAAGCGAAAGUGACGGUACCUGCAGAAGAGAAGCGCCGGCUAACUACGUGCCAGCAGCCGCGGUAAUACGUAGGGCGCGAGCGUUAUCCGGAAUUAUUGGGCGUAAAGAGCUCGUAGGCGGUUUGUCGCGUCUGCCGUGAAAGUCCGGGGCUUAACCCCGGAUCUGCGGUGGGUACGGGCAGACUAGAGUGCAGUAGGUGGAGACUGGAAUUCCUGGUGUAGCGGGUGAAAUGCGCAGAUAUCAGGAGGAACACCGAUGGCGAAGGCAGGUCUCUGGGCUGUAACUGACGCUG
RNAcentral lists this ribosomal RNA (535 nucleotides) under Micrococcus luteus. RNAcentral describes it as "bacterial SSU rRNA". It matches the Rfam family "Bacterial small subunit ribosomal RNA", at positions 210 to 748 of the family's 1533-position model. Lineage: Bacteria; Bacillati; Actinomycetota; Actinomycetes; Micrococcales; Micrococcaceae. The record is from RNAcentral.